Chlorocebus sabaeus (green monkey) is the source of this 134-nucleotide ribosomal RNA. It matches the Rfam family "Eukaryotic small subunit ribosomal RNA", at positions 1671 to 1797 of the family's 1831-position model. The record is from Rfam. Lineage: Eukaryota; Metazoa; Chordata; Mammalia; Primates; Cercopithecidae.
GCCUAUGGCUACUACUGAUUGGAUGGUUUAGUGAGGCCCUCGGAUCGGCCCCGCCGGGGUCGGCCCACGGCCCUGGCGGAGCGCUGAGAAGACGGUCGAACUUGACUAUCUAGAGGAAGUAAAAGUCAUAACAA